UACGGAGGGUCCGAGCGUUAAUCGGAAUUACUGGGCGUAAAGCGCGCGUAGGUGGCUAAGUCAGUCAGAUGUGAAAGCCCCGGGCUCAACCUGGGAACUGCACCUGAUACUGCUUGGCUAGAGUACAAUAGAGGGGAGUGGAAUUUCCGGUGUAGCGGUGAAAUGCGUAGAGAUCGGAAGGAACACCAGUGGCGAAGGCGACUCCCUGGAUUGAUACUGACACUGAGGUGCGAAAGCGUGGGGAGCAAACAGGAUUAGAUAC
RNAcentral lists this ribosomal RNA (262 nucleotides) under uncultured bacterium. Its description in RNAcentral is "partial 16S ribosomal RNA". It matches the Rfam family "Bacterial small subunit ribosomal RNA", at positions 524 to 785 of the family's 1533-position model. The record is from RNAcentral.